Molecule: ribosomal RNA, 492 nt
Filed under: uncultured bacterium
Lineage: Bacteria
Description: partial 16S ribosomal RNA
Rfam family: Bacterial small subunit ribosomal RNA
Source: RNAcentral
AGUGAGCGCUGGCGGUAGGCCUAACACAUGCAAGUCGAACGGCAGCACAGUAAGAGCUUGCUCUUACGGGUGGCGAGUGGCGGACGGGUGAGGAAUACAUCGGAAUCUACUUUUUCGUGGGGGAUAACGUAGGGAAACUUACGCUAAUACCGCAUACGACCUACGGGUGAAAGCAGGGGAUCUUCGGACCUUGCGCGAUUGAAUGAGCCGAUGUCGGAUUAGCUAGUUGGCGGGGUAAAGGCACACCAAGGCGACGAUCCGUAGCUGGUCUGAGAGGAUGAUCAGCCACACUGGAACUGAGACACGGUCCAGACUCCUACGGGAGGCAGCAGUGGGGAAUAUUGGACAAUGGGCGCAAGCCUGAUCCAGCCAUACCGCGUGAGUGAAGAAGGCCUUCGGGUUGUAAAGCCCUUUUGUUGGGAAAGAAAAGCAGCAGGUUAAUACCCCGCUGUUCUGACGGUACCCAAAGAAUAAGCACCGGCUAACUUCGUG